RNAcentral lists this ribosomal RNA (305 nucleotides) under uncultured bacterium. RNAcentral's name for it is "bacterial SSU rRNA". It matches the Rfam family "Bacterial small subunit ribosomal RNA", at positions 333 to 657 of the family's 1533-position model. The record is from RNAcentral.
GGACCCUACGGACGCAGCAGUGGGGAAUAUUGCACAAUGGGGGAAACCCUGAUGCAGCAACGCCGCGUGAGUGAAGAAGUAUUUCGGUAUGUAAAGCUCUAUCAGCAGGGAAGAGAAUGACGGUACCUGACUAAGAAGCCCCGGCUAACUACGUGCCAGCAGCCGCGGUAAUACGUAGGGGGCAAGCGUUAUCCGGAUUUACUGGGUGUAAAGGGAGCGUAGACGGCUGUACAAGUCUGAAGUGAAAGCCCGUGGCUCAACCGCGGAACUGCUUUGGAAACUGUAAAGCUGGAGUACUGGAGAGG